UAAUACGGAGGGUGCAAGCGUUAUUCGGAAUUAUUGGGCGUAAAGAGCGCGUAGGUGGUCUCUUAAGUCAGAUGUGAAAGCCUUUCGCUUAACGGAAGAAGUGCAUUUGAAACUAAGAGACUUGAGUAUGGGAGAGGGAAGUGGAAUUCCUGGUGUAGAGGUGAAAUUCGUAGAUAUCAGGAGGAACACCGGUGGCGAAGGCGACUUCCUGGACCAAUACUGACGCUGAGGCGCGAAGGCGUGGGGAGCAAACAGGAUUCGAUACCCUGGUAGUCCACGCAGUAAACGGUGAACACUAGGUGUAGCGGGUAUUGACCCCUGCUGUGCCGCAGUUAACGCAUUAAGUGUUCCGCCUGGGGAGUACGACCGCAAGGUUA
RNAcentral lists this ribosomal RNA (377 nucleotides) under uncultured delta proteobacterium. RNAcentral's name for it is "bacterial SSU rRNA". It matches the Rfam family "Bacterial small subunit ribosomal RNA", at positions 521 to 896 of the family's 1533-position model. The record is from RNAcentral. Lineage: Bacteria; Deltaproteobacteria.